AGAGUUUGAUCAUGGCUCAGAACGAACGCUGGCGGCGUGCUUAACACAUGCAAGUCGCGUGCGCAGUUGCCGUAGCAAUACGGUGAUGGGCGCACGGCGCACGGGUGCGUAACACGUGGGCAAUCUGCCCUUUGAUGGGGAAUAACCCGCCGAAAGGCGGGCUAAUUCCGCAUAAGAUUCCCGAGACUUAGGUCUUGGGAUUGAAAGCAGCAAUGCGUCGAAGGAGGAGCCCGCGCCCGAUUAGCUAGUUGGUGAGGUAACGGCUCACCAAGGCAAUGAUCGGUAGCUGGUCUGAGAGGAUGAUCAGCCACACUGGAACUGAGACACGGUCCAGACUCCUACGGGAGGCAGCAGUGGGGAAUCUUGCACAAUGGGCGAAAGCCUUGAUGCAGCGACGCCGCGUGGGGGAUGAAGCAUUUCGGUGUGUAAACCCCUUUCGACUGGGACGAAUGCCUCGCAAGAGGAGUGACGGUACCAGUAGAAGAAGCCCCGGCUAACUACGUGCCAGCAGCCGCGGUAAGACGUAGGGGGCCAGCGUUGUUCGGAAUUACUGGGUGUAAAGGGUUCGUAGGCGGUGCGGCAAGUUGGGAGUGAAAUCUCUGGGCUUAACCCAGAGGCUGCUUCCAAAACUGCUGUGCUCGAGUGUGAGAGAGGCUCGUGGAAUUGCAGGUAGCGGUGAAAUGCGUAGAUAUCUGCAGGAACACCCGUGGCGAAAGCGGCGAGCUGGAUCACUACUGACGCUGAGGAACGAAAGCUAGGGGAGCAAACAGGAUUAGAUACCCUAGUAGUCC
This 791-nucleotide ribosomal RNA is filed under the name uncultured bacterium. Its description in RNAcentral is "bacterial SSU rRNA". It matches the Rfam family "Bacterial small subunit ribosomal RNA", at positions 8 to 796 of the family's 1533-position model. The record is from RNAcentral.